This is a long non-coding RNA of Oncorhynchus nerka (sockeye salmon), 5285 nucleotides long. RefSeq lists it as uncharacterized. The transcript is spliced from 2 exons. The record is from RefSeq and is a predicted model, not a curated record. NCBI's taxonomy places the organism in Eukaryota, Metazoa, Chordata, Actinopteri, Salmoniformes, Salmonidae.
AGAACAACAGAGUACUACAUUUUUAUUUUACCACCAUGCUGGAUUUUCAUUUCCUCAAAACAAAAACAAUAACAAAUGCGCCUAGGGGCACAUUUGUUUCGCCUAUCGCAGAUGUCAGCUUUAAUGGCCACUCUGUAGAUUAUUAAGGACCUCACGGACUGUUCACUCGGCGCAGACAGAGAUAGUGCAGGCGCGUCAGUGUCAAGACAGAGAGACUAUAACACUGCUUCUUUUACCAGGCAUCAGACUGUUGAACAGCCAUCACUAGCCGUCUACCAGCUCGUCUUUGUCAUCGUCUGCUUCAGCUCCGAUGGGACAGUUCACCCCGGUCCCCUUCAGACAGCAGUAGCCCUUGGGGACCUUCUUCAGGUACUGCUGGUGGUAGUCUUCCGCGUAGAAGAACUCCUGGCCCUCUAGGACCUCUGUGGUGAUGGAUCCAUAGCCCUUCUCAGAUAACACCUGAAAUGGACACAAGGUCAAAAUACAAGAAAGGUAUCAUGAACGGAGCCAGGAGAUUUCCCUCCUGACCAGGAAAACUUCUAGAUUCCGUUUUUGAGGCAUUAGCCAGGUUACAUGGUCAGGAAAUGCCCUAAUCAUAACAACAGCUACAAACUGACUUCAAGGUUUUGUUCACUAGUCAGAAAAUGUAAGGAAAAUAACCGGAAAUGGUGCUAAAACUGCUCAUUUUUGUUAUCCAUUGCACAACAUUUUGAAAUGUUUUGCUACGAUAUGCCCAGAAAAUGAACCAGGUGCACUUUUUCCAAAGAUAAUGGAUCUGCUCUCUGACUUAGAAAGCAGCGUGGUUGAUUGAUUGACACAUGAAACAGACUCUGUUUCUCUAUAGCAUUGGCUCUGUUCCUCGCGCUCUGGGACAACGCUUGAAAGAGUCCCUGGUAGCUUUGAGCUCUCCAUCAGUGUUGCAACAUGGUGUAAGCACCUCGAGAGCAGGAUUCAAACACUCUACCUGCUGAGGGAGUACUCCUUUGCAGCAAAACACACGGCUUCCUUCCACCCCCAUAUACAUUUAAAGACUAGCACUCUGUGGAGACCCCAACAAAAACAAUCAUUCUAAGGUGUGCUGGAUUGUUCACCUCCACAAGGGGAUCCCUUCAUCCUUCCUCGAUACUUUGCAUCCUCGUUGUCUUGGCCCCGUUCUCAAAACACAUUGGAAGGACCGAGAGGCGGAGAGAGGAUGCCAAAAAUCGCGGAGAGACAUUGUGCUGCUACAGAGCAGUAUUAGUCCCUUAUUUGUCAGGGAGAAAGAAUAAAGCCGCGACAUGCAGUACCAGCCUUCAGCCACAAGGCAGCAGUGAAGAAUUUAGAGUGGGAUUGUGCUGGAGGUGAUGUCCGAGGUGGUGGUUCUCUCUCUAUAUCAAAGCACUGACUGCCCCCAGAAAACAGACUAAUUUUGAUGGAGUGGUUAAGGUUAGUAUUUGAGGAGGUAAGUUGAUCCUAGAUCUGUAGCCAAAGGAUCAUUUAGAACCCGAGCACAUUCAAAACAGGAUUCAAGACCAUCAGUCCUUACUGGCCAAUACGGUUUGUGAUGAGAUAUUUCGGACUGACAUUGCAUCAAAAUCAAACACCACAUUUGGAGAAGUUGAGGGACAAAAAGCAUUGCACUUAUAUAAAAUGUAGGAUAUUCCUAUGGCAAAUGUACUGUUAUAAUAUACACAUUCCCCAAUGAAAGCUGCAAAGGGAUUGCCCACCCUUUCCCCCAAUGGAGGGCAGCUUUUCCGGACUAUAAAUAGGCCCACUACCCACUCAUUAUAGACAGAAAGCCCCAGGGCAUCAGAUGCAUUAGAGGUUUGCUUUUAUAUGAGAGGAAUACAAUGCCCAAGAAAUGGCCUGAUAACAGAGAAGGAAUAGGCUACACUCUCAAGCCUGACUCUAAUGCAAGUCACAAUACGGCAGCCAUUUUGAGCCCAUAAAUCAGAAUGCAUGCAGUCACGUCGUGUCAAAAUGCCGUAGUGGAUCCGCAAGGCUCACUGCGGCUGGAGAAUCGGCUAGCGCUAGUGUUAGCAAUGGGUCUGACUGAAUAGCCUUUGAGUGCAGGGCACCUUAGCGCUACACUAGCCCCAGUGAGCCCUGCAUUGCGAGCUAGCUCAGUCAGCCCAUCUUCACGCCUGUCGGAAAGGAUUGGCUGUCAAAGGCACUACGGCCGAGCGAGCGCGUCUCUCUCCCGUGUGACGACGGAAGGACCGUGGAGAGCGAGCUUCACCGUAGCUCCAGUCAAGCGAGAAAGCAAAGACACCCCACCCACCGUUAGAGGGAGAGAGACGGACGCCCGACACAAAUAAAAUGUGACACACCGAGUAAAGAAAAAGAAAGGUUCACUCUCUAUUUAUCUACCGUAUUCUCUCUAUUUCUACUUCGGAAGGCCCACGCUGUAGAGAGAGAAAGAGAGUGAGAGAGACAGAAAAGCGAGAGACAGAAAGACCAAGAGAGCGACAGAAAGACAGACAGAGAGAGAGAGUGACACACACAAACACAUUGAGUCAUCAGUAGGACAUUAUUAGAGGAGUUUUGCCCUCACCAUGGACAUGGUCAUUUAUGCCAUCUUUAAAAAAAACAUGGUUGACAGUUCUGUCAAAAGCAAGCUAAAGGACUGUUCCUUUUCCCCCCAGUCCUCUUCUGAGUAAUGCUUCACAGAUAAAUGACAUACCAUAAUAUCUAAACAGAGCACACAGCAUCCCAUAAUAAUGUUACUACAAUACAAAUACGUUACUCAAUCAAAGAAAGGUUGCUCGAAAAAAAUACACGUAUAUUCUCAUCUUCACACAGUCUACAAUAUCUUGAGAAAAGUUUUUUUUAAAUGUCUUGGAAAGCAAUACCUCAUUGUGAUAUAAUAUUAUAAUAUGAUGCUCCUGACAUGUUAGAGAUGCCCUAUGUCAGGGAUCAUCAUCUACAUUCAGCCGCAGGACAAUUUCUUCUGGCGCAGAUGGUCAGGGGGUCGGAACAUCAUUUGUAGACUGCAAAGUGACAGCAAAAAGCCCAAAAAAGGAUAUAGUGCCUUCGGAAAGUAUUCAGACCCCAUUGACUUUUUACACAUUUUGUUACGUUACAGCCAUAUUCUAAAAACAAAGAUCUAUCAAUCUACACACAAUACCCCAUAGUGAUACAUUUUUUCUAAUUUAUAAAAACUACUGAAAUAUCAGAAUUACAUAAGUUAUUCAGACACUUUGCCCAAGUUCAAUCUUGGUUUCAUCAGACCAGAGAAUCUUGUUUCUCAUGGUCUGAGAGUGUUUUGGUGCUUUUUGGCAAACUCCAAGCCUGCUUUUUACUGAGGAGUGGCUUCCGUCUGGCCACUCUACGAUAAAGGCCUGAUUGGUGGAGUGCUGCAGAGAUCUUUUUUCAAGGUUCUCUCAUCUCCACAGAGGAACUCUAGAGCUCUGUCAGAGUGACCAUCGCCAAGGCCCUUCUCCCCCGAUUGAUCAGUUUGAACGGGCAGCCAGCUCUAGGAAGAGUCUUGGUGGCUACAAACGUGUCCAUUUAAGGAUGAUGGAGGCCACUGUGUUCUUUUGGACCUUCAAUGAUGCUAAAAUCCCCAGAUCUGUGCCUUGAACACAUUCCUGUCUCGGAGCUCUACGGGCAAUUCCUUCGAAUUCCUUCAAUGGCAAGGCUGUCCCUGCCUUGCCAUUGUAUUGGCUAUCUACGUAAUUUCCGGUCACAACUUGCAGACUUGUUUACGUGUUGCUGUGCGUUUUGUUGCCAACCUAUUUUGCUACCUGACAACUUUACGGUUUUUACUUUUUUAAUUACCGUUUAUAUUUUAGUUUUUUUCCCCUCAACUUUUUCACUCCGGACGCUUUAUCUGGACAUGGUUCGUCAGGACCUCCCUACACUGGCUUCCUGUCAAAGCAAGGGCUGAUUUCAAGGUUUUACUGCUAACCUACAAAGCAUUACAUGGGCUUGCUCCUACCCAUCUCUCUGAUUUGGUCCUGCCAUACAUACCUACACGUACGCUAUGGUCACAAGAUGCAGGCCUCCUAAUUGUCCCUAGAAUUUUUAAGCAAACAGCUGGAGGCAGGGCUUUCUCCUAUAGAGCUCCAUUUUUAUGGAACGGUCUGCCUACCCAUGUCAGAGACGCAAACUUGGUCUCAACCUUUAAGUCUUUACUGAAGACUCAUCUCUUCAGUGGGUCAUAUGAUUGAGUGUAGUCUGGCCCAGGAGUGGGAAGGUGAACGGAAAGGCUCUGGAGCAACGAACCGCCUUUGCUGUCUCUGCCUGGCCGGUUCCCCUCUUUCCACUGGGAUUCUCUGCCUCUAACCCUGUUACAGGGGCUGAGUCACUGGCUUACUGGGGCUCUCUCAUACCGUCCCUGGGAGGGGUGCGUCACCUGAGUGGGUUGAGUCACUGAUGUGGUCAUCCUGUCUGGGUUGGGGCUAUACUCAGCCUGGUCUCAGGAUGGUAAGUUGGUGGUUGAAGAUAUCCCUCUAGUGGUGUGGGGGCUGUGCUUUGGCAAAGUGGGUGGGGUUAUAUCCUUCCUGUUUGGCCCUAGGGUCAGUUUGUUAAAUCUGGAGUACUUCUCCUGUCCUAUUCGGUGUCCUGUGUGAAUUUAAGUGUGCUCUCUCUAAUUCUCUCUUUCUCUCUUUCUUUCUCUCUCUCGGAGGACCUGAGCCCUAGGACCAUGCCUCAGGACUACCUGACAUGAUGACUCCUUGCUGUCCCCAGUCCACCUGGCCGUGCUGCUGCUCCAGUUUCAACUGUCCUGCCUUAUUAUUAUUGGACCAUGCCGGUCAUUUAUGAACAUUUGAACAUCUUGGCCAUGUUCUGUUAUAAUCUCCACCCGGCACAGCCAGAAGAGGACUGGCCACCCCACAUAGCCUGGUUCCUCUCUAGGUUUCUUCCUAGGUUUUGGCCUUUCUAGGGAGUUUUUCCUAGCCACCGUGCUUCUACACCUGCAUUGCUUGCUGUUUGGGGUUUUAGGCUGGGUUUCUGUACAGCACUUUGAGAUAUCAGCUGAUGUACGAAGGGCUAUAUAAAUAAAUGUGAUUUGAUGGCUUGGUUUUUGCUCUGACAUGCACUGUCAACUGUGGGACCUUAUAGAGAGUUUUUUUGCAUUGUCAUUAUCGGGUGUUGUGCGAAGAUUGCUGGAAAAAAAAGACAUGACAAAAUGUGGAAAAAGUCAAGGGGUCGGAAUACUUUCCGAAAGCACUGCAUAACUUUUGACUAAAACAUAAUCAUUUCAAACCUUCCUUGCAUUUGUUUACGGUCACAUAUAUCUCUCUAUUAUGCGUGUGAAUACUUUGGAACAGAUUUCCAAAAUUAAAAUUACGUGGAGCUGA